UACAGAGGGGGCAAGCGUUAUUCGGAAUUAUUGGGCGUAAAGGGCGCGUAGGCGGCCCGCUAAGUCGAACGUGAAAUCCCCGAGCUCGACUCGGGAACUGCGUCCGAUACUGGCGGGCUUGAAUCCGGGAGAGGGAUGCGGAAUUCCAGGUGUAGCGGUGAAAUGCGUAGAUAUCUGGAGGAACACCGGUGGCGAAGGCGGCAUCCUGGACCGGCAUUGACGCUGAGGCGCGAAAGCUAGGGGAGCAAACGGG
Molecule: ribosomal RNA, 253 nt
Filed under: uncultured bacterium
Lineage: Bacteria
Description: partial 16S ribosomal RNA
Rfam family: Bacterial small subunit ribosomal RNA
Source: RNAcentral